This is a long non-coding RNA of Monodelphis domestica (gray short-tailed opossum), 998 nucleotides long. RefSeq lists it as uncharacterized. The record is from RefSeq and is a predicted model, not a curated record. Lineage: Eukaryota; Metazoa; Chordata; Mammalia; Didelphimorphia; Didelphidae.
AGCAAAUGUCUUAGUGUCCCUCCAGACAUACCACUGUGCCAAGAACACACUCUGCUAGAAUAAUACAGCCUCAAGGAUCCCUUCCCCCCUACCUUUCCAAUCCAUCUCCAGCCCUUGGAGUCAGGUCUGAUUCAAGUUCCAAGGAGUACAAUGAUAGCAAAGCAAAGCAAAGCUUGAACAUACUCUUUUCCAGUGGAGACAAUCAAGGACUUGGAAUCUUUUAUAAGCCAAAAUUUCUGCAGGACAUCAAAAAAGAAUCCGGUUCAGGACACAGAUCAAGACGCGUGCCUCUGAAGGGUCAGUUCCAGUCCUCUUAUGGCUCAACAUCUAAGGCUCAGAAUCUCAAAACCUUUGAAACGUGCCCCUUUCAGCCAGCGAAGUGUGUGUACCUCUGGGAAGGGAACAGUAAAUAAUGUGGAUGAUAGCACACUUGUCCCAGCCUUGAGGUUCUUCUCACAGCUCCCAGGACUUGGAAGCCCUCAUCCUCUCUCUGAUAAGGGGAGAGAUAAUCCCUCCUUGGCAAGGACUAAAAAAGCAGGUUAAUUAGCAGUUCUUCUCUGCACCUGGCAGAUGGCAAGCUAAAAAGCCAGUAGUGGGUACCCUCCAGGAAGAAGUGUCCUGUUCCUAUUUUAUUUUUAAAGCCCUACUUUCUAACAAAGUUGAACUUAAACCUGAGCUCAAGUAUAUUAUCACUAACCACAAAGUAAGAUCAAUCAGGGAGGGUUUUUGGAGGAGGAGGAGAAAAGAGGAAGAAGUGUUUGAAGAGGAGAAAAUAGAAUAAGCAGAGAAAGAGGCGGAGACCAUCUACAAGCCAGAAGAAAUUACUGUAAAGUCAGAAAGGAUCUCAAAGUACAUCAAGAGAGGGAAUGCACACACCAAUGAAUGAAAGAUUGGCCCAAGUAUGGAGGGCAGUUCAAGAGAUGCGGUGAGAAUGAUUUAUUUGGAUUAAAUCAUUCUAUAAAUUAAAGAGAGCGAUUUCUUUAUUGGAGGAGUAAAUU